Molecule: ribosomal RNA, 500 nt
Filed under: uncultured bacterium
Lineage: Bacteria
Description: partial 16S ribosomal RNA
Rfam family: Bacterial small subunit ribosomal RNA
Source: RNAcentral
GACGAACGCUGGCGGCGUGCUUAACACAUGCAAGUCGAACGGGUCUGCCCUGUUUUUUGCGGGGUGGGUCAGUGGCGAACGGGUGAGUAACACGUGAGUAACCUGCCCCUCACUUCUGGAUAACCGCUUGAAAGGGUGGCUAAUACGGGGUGUUCUUGCUGUGCCGCAUGGUGUGGCUGGGAAAGAUUCCCUUUUGUGGUGUUUUGGUGGGGGAUGGGCUCGCGGCCUAUCAGCUUGUUGGUGGGGUGAUGGCCUGCCAAGGCUUUGACGGGUAGCCGGCCUGAGAGGGUGGGCGGGCACACUGGGACUGAGAUACGGCCCAGACUCCUGCGGGAGGCAGCAGUGGGGGGUAUUGCACAAUGGGCGGAAGCCUGAUGCAGCGACGUCGCGUGAGGGAUGGAGGCCUUCGGGUUGUGAACCUCUUUCGCCGGUGAAGAAGGUCCUGCUCUUUGUGGUGGGGUGGACGGUAGCCGGGUUAUGAAGCGCCGGCUAACUACGUG